This 876-nucleotide ribosomal RNA is filed under the name Staphylococcus aureus. RNAcentral describes it as "partial 23S ribosomal RNA". It matches the Rfam family "Bacterial large subunit ribosomal RNA", at positions 1426 to 2297 of the family's 2925-position model. The record is from RNAcentral. Lineage: Bacteria; Bacillati; Bacillota; Bacilli; Caryophanales; Staphylococcaceae.
CAGGUUGAUAUUCCUGUACCACCUAUAAUCGUUUUAAUCGAUGGGGGGACGCAGUAGGAUAGGCGAAGCGUGCGAUUGGAUUGCACGUCUAAGCAGUAAGGCUGAGUAUUAGGCAAAUCCGGUACUCGUUAAGGCUGAGCUGUGAUGGGGAGAAGACAUUGUGUCUUCGAGUCGUUGAUUUCACACUGCCGAGAAAAGCCUCUAGAUAGAAAAUAGGUGCCCGUACCGCAAACCGACACAGGUAGUCAAGAUGAGAAUUCUAAGGUGAGCGAGCGAACUCUCGUUAAGGAACUCGGCAAAAUGACCCCGUAACUUCGGGAGAAGGGGUGCUCUUUAGGGUUAACGCCCAGAAGAGCCGCAGUGAAUAGGCCCAAGCGACUGUUUAUCAAAAACACAGGUCUCUGCUAAACCGUAAGGUGAUGUAUAGGGGCUGACGCCUGCCCGGUGCUGGAAGGUUAAGAGGAGUGGUUAGCUUCUGCGAAGCUACGAAUCGAAGCCCCAGUAAACGGCGGCCGUAACUAUAACGGUCCUAAGGUAGCGAAAUUCCUUGUCGGGUAAGUUCCGACCCGCACGAAAGGCGUAACGAUUUGGGCACUGUCUCAACGAGAGACUCGGUGAAAUCAUAGUACCUGUGAAGAUGCAGGUUACCCGCGACAGGACGGAAAGACCCCGUGGAGCUUUACUGUAGCCUGAUAUUGAAAUUCGGCACAGCUUGUACAGGAUAGGUAGGAGCCUUUGAAACGUGAGCGCUAGCUUACGUGGAGGCGCUGGUGGGAUACUACCCUAGCUGUGUUGGCUUUCUAACCCGCACCACUUAUCGUGGUGGGAGACAGUGUCAGGCGGGCAGUUUGACUGGGGCGGUCGCCUCCUAAAAGG